Molecule: ribosomal RNA, 130 nt
Filed under: Klebsiella pneumoniae
Lineage: Bacteria; Pseudomonadati; Pseudomonadota; Gammaproteobacteria; Enterobacterales; Enterobacteriaceae
Description: partial 16S ribosomal RNA
Rfam family: Bacterial small subunit ribosomal RNA
Source: RNAcentral
ACUUAAAUUGAAGAGUUUGAUCAUGGCUCAGAUUGAACGCUGGCGGCAGGCCUAACACAUGCAAGUCGAGCGGUAGCACAGAGAGCUUGCUCUCGGGUGACGAGCGGCGGACGGGGUGAGUAAUGUCUGG